GGGGGCGGGGGGCGGGCAGGGGGUGUAAGGAGGGCCCCGGGCACUGGGGAGCGCUGGCUCUCCCCCCCCGCCCCCCCCCCCAGACACUGGCUCCAUCAAAGAGGCGCUUUGUCCUAAACCUUCGGCCCCGAGGAGUCCAACCUGGUUCUAAUCACUUCAGAGUCGCCGUCUUUCACAGUGAUCCUGUUUACAUUCUGCGCGCCUUCUCGCUGGCCAGCCCUGACACCAGCAAGCCCGCUCGCUCCAGCUUCAUUUCCAUGUCCUCGGACUUCUUGCGGAGCUCCUCCUUCUGGGCCAGCUUCUCGUCGUACUGCUUCUUCAGCAUCU
Molecule: long non-coding RNA, 327 nt
Organism: Leopardus geoffroyi (Geoffroy's cat)
Lineage: Eukaryota; Metazoa; Chordata; Mammalia; Carnivora; Felidae
Exons: 2
Source: RefSeq, a predicted model, not a curated record